GCCCCCGUAGCUCAAUGGACAGAGCACCAGUCUUCUAAACUGAUGGUUGCGCGUUCGAAUCGCGCCGGGGGUA
Molecule: transfer RNA, 73 nt
Filed under: Anaerolineaceae bacterium
Lineage: Bacteria; Bacillati; Chloroflexota; Anaerolineae; Anaerolineales; Anaerolineaceae
Also listed under: 1 other name
Description: tRNA-Arg
Rfam family: tRNA
About the family: Transfer RNA (tRNA) molecules are approximately 80 nucleotides in length. Their secondary structure includes four short double-helical elements and three loops (D, anti-codon, and T loops).
Source: RNAcentral